GAUUGCAUUCAUUUAACAACCUCUCUGCAAUCGCGGCUG
RNAcentral lists this non-coding RNA (39 nucleotides) under unclassified sequences. Its description in RNAcentral is "S4-Bacteroidia ribosomal protein leader". It matches the Rfam family "S4-Bacteroidia ribosomal protein leader". The record is from RNAcentral.